RNAcentral lists this ribosomal RNA (305 nucleotides) under uncultured bacterium. RNAcentral describes it as "partial 16S ribosomal RNA". It matches the Rfam family "Bacterial small subunit ribosomal RNA", at positions 337 to 644 of the family's 1533-position model. The record is from RNAcentral.
UCCUACGGGGGGCAGCAGUGGGGAAUAUUGCACAAUGGGGGAAACCCUGAUGCAGCGACGCCGCGUGAGUGAAGAAGUAUCUCGGUACGUAAAGCUCUAUCAGCAGGGAAGAAAAAAAGUCUUUGGCUUUGGACGGUACCUGACUAAGAAGCCCCGGCUAACUACGUGCCAGCAGCCGCGGUAAUACGUAGGGGGCAAGCGUUAUCCGGAUUUACUGGGUGUAAAGGGAGCGUAGGCGGGAAGCCAAGUCAGCUGUGAAAACUACGGGCUUAACCUGUAGACUGCAGUUGAAACUGGCUUUCUUG